GCCGAGCCAUUCAUGUUUACUUACAUCUAGUCUGUUACAUGCUCUGUGAGCCGAGCUGUGGGAUGUGACGAGGGUGAGUGUUGCUAUCGCACGUCUGCCGGUCAAAGGUCAGCGAGGCGACAGGGGCAGUGAGCAAGGUGAGCAUUUACUCGGCUCUUUAGAAAUCCGAUAAAGCAAGAUGGAUUUCACUUACGAGAGAGGGACGCUUGAGAACAUCAAAGACGCCAAAGAACUUCGACGCCACCUGACAGACCUGGGAAAAGUCAUCACAGACCCAACAUUUCCACACUCUGAGACAGUCGGAGAGGAGACCAAAUGUUUCUUGUCAGACUUGCUGUCAGCUGUCAACACGGCUGGUGCUCUGGAAGAGGUUUACAAUGAAAUACUGGACUUGGCGCUGGACUUGACAGUGAAGAAAGUCGGGUGUGAUGGAACGAAACCUCAUUUCGAGGCUAUCGGCGAUUUCUUCAACAGCAUUGAGCCAAAGAAUGUCAAGGGAAAAGGAAAGCUGUUCGAAGGUUUGAUCACGAAGUUCAUUCACCUACUGGAUCACGUGAAGGAUGAGACGUACCUGACACUGACGUUUGCAAAGCCAGUGAUGGAAGAGUGCCUCAGUCCAGCCAUGGGCAAAUCGAAAGAACACGUGGAGCUGUGGAUUGCCAUGGUCAAGUCGCUCCUUAAACACCACACCUCCCAGUGCCUAGAGGCCGCGUACUAUGCUUUGCGAGAGAAAGAAAAUCUUCUGAAAUGGAAGCAAUAUUCAUCGCACGUGAAGGAGCUGUUCCAGCUGCUGUCUAACUUCACAUUACCCGACUGGUUAACAGAUACGGAAAGAGAGGAGUGUUACGAAUACCACAACAACACGGUGGAACAUCUGCUCCAGGGCUUCGAAACUGCGAAACUGGUCGGGGAAAUCACAGGCGACAUGGUUCACCGCGCUCUCGACAUCAUGGAGUCUCGCAAUCCUGAGCUGUUUGCAGCGGGCAAAGAGAUCGCCAACAAAAUAUCUUUCAACAUUAAAAAAGAUAAGGCCUUAAUCAUGGAGACGGUGAGGCGGAUAACCGCGGCUCUAGCAGACGAUUCCUACGGCUGGAAUGGCGAAGGAGACUACUGGAAACUCAACGGUUUGACGAUAGACCUCUUUGCCAAAGCCAUGGAUUGUGUUAAAGACGGGAGAGCAUUCACGUGGGAAGAGUAUGAUGAGCUCAUAGCACUGGUGAAGUUUUGCCAGGAAGCGGACCCAAUCCACCCGGAGACUGGAAGUGCCGGCAGUGUGACUUAUAUCCUGCUCUGCCAAGCUGGGUUCAAAGUUAUAGCCUGGCUGAAGACGAUGAACGAAAUCCAGCGAGCGGCGCCCCUGGUGCCCGGAGUCCUGGACAUGCUCACAUCCUAUGAUGACAAUGUCAGAAGCAUUGCCAGUGCCAUGAUGACCAUCAUCAGCUUAUCUGGCGACCUCUUCGCACCCUACAUCGACAGGGUGAUCAAGAUGUUCCUGGACACGGAGGACAGCAGUCUCCUCACUAGCGUUCUGUACAGUUACGAAUACAACCCCCAGCCGCUGGCCGAACAUUUUCAGGCUCUGUUCAACUACCUGGACAGCGGAGACAGCUCUGUACGGAGCAACAUGCUGCAGCUUAUACAGAAAGUAGCUAAACACCAACCAGAUCUGUUUACGAAGGAUAACAUGGUGGCUCUGAUGAAAGAAGCCAGGGAGGACGCAGGGAACCAGAUACAGCUGCUGAUGACAAUGGAAGAGAUCACAAAGAAACGGUCGGACAAGAUCACGCCUCACCUGAACGAGCUGAUGAACCUUAGCCUCUGGCAACCUUUGUCCCUGUCCUUUAUAAAUCGGAUACUUCAGUUCUACGCCCUGAAGCUGGAAGGGAAUAACGAAGCAGGCAUCCCAGAAAUAAUGAAUUGCAUGAUAAAACAAGUCGAGACCUAUGAUGACAAGACGGCAACCCUGGCUGCACUCAAUGCCAUGAGGCUGAUUGGCUACAAACACCGUGCCGCCAUUGAAAAGCAUCGUUCGAGGAUAGAGAAGAUUAAAGAGGAAACGAAAGACGGAGACUACAGAAUUUUGUGUGGUCAGAUCCUCGACAUGCUGGACGGAAGAAGUGUGGAUAAGAUCGUCGACGAUUUGAAAGCUCUUCAAGUGGAAGUCGCUGACAUUGACAUUCGCGUUAACGACAACGAGAAAGUAGUAACUGAGGUCAAGGACACGGUGAAACGUCAAGGGCAGGACAUUGACAUCGUCAAGAAGGACGUAGCAGGUCAAGGACAGCGCCUUGAUCAGGUGGAGGAGACUGUUGAGGACACGGUUAUCAAAGUGGAGGAGAUCGAUGGCAAGACGUUAAGCCACGCCCCGUUCUGGUCACGUGACGUGGCGAAACUCCUCAACCCUGAAGCAGAACACGACUGGCGCCUUCUGUCCAGUCGCCUUGGUUACAGCAACGACGACAUACGGAGCUGGGCCCAGCAGCACGACCCGUGCAUGGCGAUGCUCAACGAGUGGUACGCCACUCACAAGACAAGGGAGGCCACUUUCGCGGUGCUGACGGCCCUUCAAGCCAUGAGCCGAUUAGAUGCUGCUGUGAUCGUAGAAAAUGCCAUGAAGAAUGCAGAAGCUGUGGUGGAAGACGAGGAGUUUGAAUACACCAAGCCCCCUGACAUCUUCCUCAGCUACCAGUGGGGCCACCAGAGCGAGGUGCGACUGCUACGCCAACAUCUGGAGAUGGCUGGCUACAGCUGCUGGAUGGACGUGGGUCAGAUGGGUGGGGGCGACAAGCUGUUCGAGAAAAUCGACUCCGGGAUCCGCGGCGCCAAGGUGGUCAUCAGUUGUGUGACAGAGAAGUACGCCAAGUCGCCCAACUGUAACAGAGAGGUGAACCUGUCCGUCAGUUUGGGCAAACCUAUCAUCCCUUUGCUGAUGGAGAAAACAACAUGGCCGCCACCUGGUUCCAUGGGCCCCAUCUUCAGCGAAUACCUGUUCGUCCGCUUUUUCCAGCGAGACAAGGAGCAGACAACUGACCAGCGGUACUGGCCCUUGGAUAAAUUCCAGGAGCUGCUCAUGCAGUUGUCCAUGAACGGAGUCACUCCGGACGAAGCUGCAGUGCAGCCAGAGUACAAAAACUGGUGGAUUCCAAAGAUCGAGGAGGUUACGGUGGACAAAAACCGAUCUAAAAAAGGCGAAACUCAAUCUGCGCCAGUCGCCGCUGCAACUUCCGAUAAGGUAUCGGCCUCGCCAGACGUCUUCAUCUCUUACCAGUGGGGUAGACAACCACAGAUCGUGAAGCUGUAUCGAUCAUUAACUGCCCUUGGCUACACGUGCUGGCUGGACAUAAUGCAGAUGGGGGGAGGCGACUCGUUAUACGACAAGAUUGACCGCGGGCUGCGAGGUUGUCGCGUGGUGUUGUCGUGCGUCACCCCCAAGUACGCCUUGUCCGCCAACUGCAGGCGGGAGGUGAGUUUAGCUGAUGCGCUUCACAAGCCAAUUGUUCCUCUGUUGCUGGAGACUACUUCUUGGCCUCCCCCGGGACCGAUGGGACCGAUACUUACUCAGUUGUUGUACAUAGACUGCACGGGUGACCCCAGCCUCCAGGAGAAGUGGCAAGGGUCAAAGUUUGACGAGAUCGUGGCCAAGAUUGACCAGCACAUCAACCCCUUGACAACCAGCGUGGUACAGUCGCAAGUAAACCCACAGGUCAAAGACCCUCGUCCUAAAGAUGCAACAGCAGCACCACCAGAUCGUGAGGGGGUGAAGGGGAAAGGUGAAAACCAAUCUCAAGACCAUUUCGGGAAAAAUGAUAACAAUAAUGUUGCGAGAACUGUCUCAGAGACUUCAUUGUCAAGCAAGAACGGGCACGAAGGACACAAUGAAUCUUACAAUCGCGGGGCCAUGCCCAGAAUGGCGCAGGUGAAGACUACUUCAGGAUGCUGUGUGAUUUCGUAGACCGGAAGGUUGCGUGGACCAUUCAGGAGGAAAAGAAAAAAGUUCUGUAGGGAUCCCGAUAAGUCAUAAUACUUGACUGUGAAUGUGGUAACAGGUUCCUGUAAAAUAGUGGACAACAGCCAUUGCCUUUCAACUUUACCUGUUGGUGUUUCACAAAAGUGUUACUUUAUUUUUGAACGAAAUUUGCCUUAACAUUAAAAACAGCAACAACAAUAACGACAGAAUUUAACACGACUCUAAUCGAGAAUAAUAAUAAUUAUGGAAUUAGAUGUUUCUUAAUGUGGACACAACAUAAAAUUUUGCGUAGAGUGUAAGUUUUUUGUAGCUCAUCUGGAGAA
This is an RNA transcript of Pomacea canaliculata, 4290 nucleotides long. RefSeq lists it as uncharacterized. Lineage: Eukaryota; Metazoa; Mollusca; Gastropoda; Architaenioglossa; Ampullariidae. The record is from RefSeq and is a predicted model, not a curated record. The transcript has 22 exons.